RNAcentral lists this unclassified non-coding RNA (445 nucleotides) under uncultured fungus. RNAcentral describes it as "partial contains small subunit ribosomal RNA, internal transcribed spacer 1, and 5.8S ribosomal RNA". The stretch from base 1 to 73 matches the Rfam family "Eukaryotic small subunit ribosomal RNA", at positions 1759 to 1831 of the family's 1831-position model. Lineage: Eukaryota; Fungi. The record is from RNAcentral.
GCAAACUUGGUCAUUUAGAGGAAGUAAAAGUCGUAACAAGGUUUCCGUAGGUGAACCUGCGGAAGGAUCAUUAACAAAUCCAUUACCACUACUAUACCUGUGCGAAUGUUCGCGUCGCCGGCGGUUACGUCGGCGACUGCAUAUACACAUACACUCGAUUGUCGGAUGUAACACCACAUCAAAUGGUCAACAACAUAUGAGACAGGCAAUCUUGGUCAUUUAGAGGAAGUAAAAGUCGUAACAAGGUUUCCGUAGGUGAACCUGCGGAAGGAUCAUUAACAAAUCCAUUACCACUACUAUACCUGUGCGAAUGUUCGCGUCGCCGGCGGUUACGUCGGCGACUGCAUAUACACAUACACUCGAUUGUCGGAUGUAACACCACAUCAAAUGGUCAACAACUUUUAACAAUGGAUCUCUUGGCUCUUGCAUCGAUGAAGAACGCAGC